Molecule: ribosomal RNA, 678 nt
Filed under: Salmonella enterica subsp. enterica serovar Bareilly
Lineage: Bacteria; Pseudomonadati; Pseudomonadota; Gammaproteobacteria; Enterobacterales; Enterobacteriaceae
Description: partial 23S ribosomal RNA
Rfam family: Bacterial large subunit ribosomal RNA
Source: RNAcentral
GAAAAAGAACCUGAAACCGUGUACGUACAAGCAGUGGGAGCACCCUUUUGGGUGUGACUGCGUACCUUUUGUAUAAUGGGUCAGCGACUUAUAUUCUGUAGCAAGGUUAACCGAAUAGGGGAGCCGGAGGGAAACCGAGUCUUAAUUGGGCGUUAAGUUGCAGGGUAUAGACCCGAAACCCGGUGAUCUAGCCAUGGGCAGGUUGAAGGUUGGGUAACACUAACUGGAGGACCGAACCGACUAAUGUUGAAAAAUUAGCGGAUGACCUGUGGCUGGGGGUGAAAGGCCAAUCAAACCGGGAGAUAGCUGGUUCUCCCCGAAAGCUAUUUAGGUAGCGCCUCGUGAAUUCAUCUCCGGGGGUAGAGCACUGUUUCGGCUAGGGGGCCAUCCCGGCUUACCAACCCGAUGCAAACUGCGAAUACCGGAGAAUGUUAUCACGGGAGACACACGGCGGGUGCUAACGUCCGUCGUGAAGAGGGAAACAACCCAGACCGCCAGCUAAGGUCCCAAAGUCAUGGUUAAGUGGGAAACGAUGUGGGAAGGCCCAGACAGCCAGGAUGUUGGCUUAGAAGCAGCCAUCAUUUAAAGAAAGCGUAAUAGCUCACUGGUCGAGUCGGCCUGCGCGGAAGAUGUAACGGGGCUAAACCAUGCACCGAAGCUGCGGCAGCGACACUCAGG